GGGUUGUGAGGUUAAGCGACUAAGCGUACACGGUGGAUGCCCUGGCAGUCAGAGGCGAUGAAGGGCGUGCUAAUCUGCGAUAAGCGCCGGUAAGGUGAUAUGAACCGUUAUAACCGGCGAUACCCGAAUGGGGAAACCCAGUGUGAUUCGUCACACUAUCAUUAACUGAAUCCAUAGGUUAAUGAGGCGAACCGGGGGAACUGAAACAUCUAAGUACCCCGAGGAAAAGAAAUCAACCGAGAUUCCCCCAGUAGCGGCGAGCGAACGGGGAGGAGCCCAGAGCCUGAAUCAGCAUGUGUGUUAGUGGAAGCGUCUGGAAAGGCGCGCGAUACAGGGUGACAGCCCCGUACACAAAAGCGCAUGUGCUGUGAGCUCGAUGAGUAGGGCGGGACACGUGGUAUCCUGUCUGAAUAUGGGGGGACCAUCCUCCAAGGCUAAAUACUCCUGACUGACCGAUAGUGAACCAGUACCGUGAGGGAAAGGCGAAAAGAACCCCGGCGAGGGGAGUGAAAAAGAACCUGAAACCGUGUACGUACAAGCAGUGGGAGCACCCUUCGGGGUGUGACUGCGUACCUUUUGUAUAAUGGGUCAGCGACUUAUAUUCUGUAGCAAGGUUAACCGUAUAGGGGAGCCGGAGGGAAACCGAGUCUUAAUUGGGCGUUAAGUUGCAGGGUAUAGACCCGAAACCCGGUGAUCUAGCCAUGGGCAGGUUGAAGGUUGGGUAACACUAACUGGAGGACCGAACCGACUAAUGUUGAAAAAUUAGCGGAUGACCUGUGGCUGGGGGUGAAAGGCCAAUCAAACCGGGAGAUAGCUGGUUCUCCCCGAAAGCUAUUUAGGUAGCGCCUCGUGAAUUCAUCUCCGGGGGUAGAGCACUGUUUCGGCUAGGGGGCCAUCCCGGCUUACCAACCCGAUGCAAACUGCGAAUACCGGAGAAUGUUAUCACGGGAGACACACGGCGGGUGCUAACGUCCGUCGUGAAGAGGGAAACAACCCAGACCGCCAGCUAAGGUCCCAAAGUCAUGGUUAAGUGGGAAACGAUGUGGGAAGGCCCAGACAGCCAGGAUGUUGGCUUAGAAGCAGCCAUCAUUUAAAGAAAGCGUAAUAGCUCACUGGUCGAGUCGGCCUGCGCGGAAGAUGUAACGGGGCUAAACCAUGCACCGAAGCUGCGGCAGCGAACGUAUCACCCAAGACAACUUUACGGAGUUGACGAUUGACGGAGCGAAGCGACGUCAAAGCGUUCAUUAAAGUCGAGUUGGCUUAGGGAUACGUUCGUUGGGUAGGGGAGCGUUCUGUAAGCCUGUGAAGGUGUGUCGUGAGGCAUGCUGGAGGUAUCAGAAGUGCGAAUGCUGACAUAAGUAACGAUAAAGCGGGUGAAAAGCCCGCUCGCCGGAAGACCAAGGGUUCCUGUCCAACGUUAAUCGGGGCAGGGUGAGUCGACCCCUAAGGCGAGGCCGAAAGGCGUAGUCGAUGGGAAACGGGUUAAUAUUCCCGUACUUGGUGUUACUGCGAAGGGGGGACGGAGAAGGCUAUGUUGGCCGGGCGACGGUUGUCCCGGUUUAAGCGUGUAGGUGUGUGUUCCAGGUAAAUCCGGUUCACUUUAACACUGAGGCGUGACGACGAGGCACUACGGUGCUGAAGCAACAAAUGCCCUGCUUCCAGGAAAAGCCUCUAAGCAUCAGGUAACACGAAAUCGUACCCCAAACCGACACAGGUGGUCAGGUAGAGAAUACCAAGGCGCUUGAGAGAACUCGGGUGAAGGAACUAGGCAAAAUGGUGCCGUAACUUCGGGAGAAGGCACGCUGACACGUAGGUGAAGUGAUUUACUCAUGGAGCUGAAGUCAGUCGAAGAUACCAGCUGGCUGCAACUGUUUAUUAAAAACACAGCACUGUGCAAACACGAAAGUGGACGUAUACGGUGUGACGCCUGCCCGGUGCCGGAA
This 1943-nucleotide ribosomal RNA is filed under the name Salmonella enterica subsp. enterica serovar Typhimurium. RNAcentral describes it as "partial 23S ribosomal RNA". It matches the Rfam family "Bacterial large subunit ribosomal RNA", at positions 1 to 1874 of the family's 2925-position model. Lineage: Bacteria; Pseudomonadati; Pseudomonadota; Gammaproteobacteria; Enterobacterales; Enterobacteriaceae. The record is from RNAcentral.